GCAUUCCUUCCUAAUAUACCGAGGAAGCUUCCAAACUCUAUCGCAACUGCUUCACUAGGACCGACGGGUUCCAAACUCUAUCAGGCUGAAGUUCCACUACUUCAGUUGUUGCAAAGGAUAGGGUCUUGUCACAUGGCAAGCAAAACAUUAUUAGUAUAUAGAGCAGUAAAAGUGAAUGUAUCUAUCUGGUAAAAGCACGUGUAACACCUUUUUCUAUCACAAAGUGGAACAACCGAGAUUUAAAAAUAUAACUUAGAUCUAAACCACAUUUUUCCUCCAUUGGGUUUCCAUAUUUUCUUGACCAAUCCUUAGCAGAUGCCACUGGAAGAGGCAUUGCAUCUAUCUCAAUUUGUCUGGAUAAUAUGCUCUUAGUAUCCAAUGAUCUUUUAUAUUCCUAGAAAUGCAUACUGAAAGGACUAUUACAAGAAUGAUUAAGCUAACCAUUUUUUUCAAAGUUUAUUGAAGCACCAAAGGCUUGUCUAGAUAUGCAAACCAUUUUCCUCUAUUUUAACAAUGGUUUAAUUUUCUGAACCAUGAUCUUUUACAAGAUUUAAACAUGAAAAUUGAUCUAUUCUCUACAGCCCUUUCAUCUAUCAAAAUUCACCAACUAAACCCCCAAUUUUACAAUCUAGAAACCACAAAAUUUAUUGUAUAAUACAAACAAAGGACAUAGUAAAUUAACGGAUUUAUCAAAAAUAUUACCACAAAAAGAAAACAAAGAAGCAGCGAAAUAAAUUUUCGGUAAAAUAAUAGCGAAUAUCGAACAACCACAGAAAAUAUCGAAUAUGGGAAAAAUACAGAAAACCUACAUCUGAGAUUCCUUAUAAUAGCCGAAAUGGUUGUACUUCGUCGGAAUGGAUCUUCCUUCGUCUGAGCAGGCAGUACAGUGCGUCAGCAAUUUUUUUCUAGGUUUAAGACCGAGAGAGACGAAAAGGCUUCUGUUGAUGAG
Molecule: long non-coding RNA, 949 nt
Filed under: Nicotiana benthamiana
Lineage: Eukaryota; Viridiplantae; Streptophyta; Magnoliopsida; Solanales; Solanaceae
Description: long non-coding RNA (NBEN_LNC030312)
Source: RNAcentral